Molecule: long non-coding RNA, 609 nt
Filed under: Triticum aestivum (bread wheat)
Lineage: Eukaryota; Viridiplantae; Streptophyta; Magnoliopsida; Poales; Poaceae
Description: long non-coding RNA (TAES_LNC005969)
Source: RNAcentral
CCGUCCCAAGUACCUGGGCCCGUUCUCCGAGCAGACCCCGUCGUACCUGACCGGCGAGUUCCCCGGCGACUACGGGUGGGACACCGCCGGAUUGUCUGCUGACCCCGAGACGUUCGCCAAGAACAGGGAGCUGGAGGUGAUCCACUCGCGGUGGGCGAUGCUCGGCGCCCUCGGGUGCGUGUUCCCGGAGAUCCUGUCCAAGAACGGCAUCAAGUUCGGCGAGGCCGUGUGGUUCAAGGCCGGCGCCCAGAUCUUCUCCGAGGGCGGCCUCGACUACCUGGGCAACCCCAACCUGGUGCACGCGCAGAGCAUCCUCGCCAUCUGGGCGGUGCAGGUGGUGCUCAUGGGCUUCAUCGAGGGCUACCGUGUUGGUGGCGGGCCCCUCGGCGAGGGCCUCGAUAUCAUCUACCCAGGCGGCGCCUUCGACCCACUUGGCCUCGCCGACGACCCUGACACCGCCGCCGAGCUCAAGGUGAAGGAGCUCAAGAACGGCCGCCUCGCCAUGUUCUCCAUGUUCGGCUUCUUCGUGCAGGCCAUCGUCACCGGGAAGGGGCCAGUUGAGAACCUCUUCGACCACGUCGCCGACCCGGUCAACAACAACGCCUGGGC